Non-coding RNA from Cinara cedri, 304 nucleotides. Lineage: Eukaryota; Metazoa; Arthropoda; Insecta; Hemiptera; Aphididae. The record is from the annotation of a GenBank genome assembly.
CAAAUUUGUAUUACCACAUCUCGGUGUUUUAAAAAUCAAAAUCAAAUUCCGUUCAAUAUCUAUGCAAAAAUGUGGAUUAUUUGACACUAGAUAUUUUUCUACCGGAUAUUUUUACGCCAGACUAAAUAUAGAAAACAAAUAGAAUAAGAACCUUUGCCACGGAUUUUAAGUCUACAUCUUGAAGACUUAAAUCAAGUCUUGUAUCUAACUGCUUAUUUAAAUUGCAUCGUUAUAAACUAUACCCAAACAAAUAUUAACUCAUGGAAAAGAAAAUCUUUGUAAUGUGCCCUGACUAAUAGCUGAU